RNAcentral lists this ribosomal RNA (1242 nucleotides) under metagenome. Its description in RNAcentral is "bacterial LSU rRNA". It matches the Rfam family "Bacterial large subunit ribosomal RNA", at positions 1564 to 2816 of the family's 2925-position model. The record is from RNAcentral.
UGAAUACGAGACGCUAAGGCGUCGAAGUAGUGUAUGUCAUACUUCCAAGAAAAGCUUGCACUGUCAUAGAUAAAAAACGCCUGUACCAUAACCGACACAGGUGGGUAGGUAGAGUAUACUAAGGGGCGCGAGAUAACUCUCUCUAAGGAACUCGGCAAAAUAACUCCGUAACUUCGGGAGAAGGAGUGCCUUAUUCGUAAGGUUGCAAUAACAAGAUCCAAGCAACUGUUUAUCAAAAACACAGGUCUCCGCUAAGUCGUAAGACGAUGUAUGGGGGCUGACGCCUGCCCAGUGCCAGAAGGUUAAAGAAGUUGGUUAGCAAUUGCGAAGCUGAUAACUGAAGCCCUGGUGAACGGCGGCCGUAAUGAUAACGGUCCUAAGGUAGCGAAAUUCCUUGUCGGGUAAGUUCCGACCCGCACGAAAGGCGUAAUGAUUUGGAUACUGUCUCGGAGAGGGGCUCGGUGAAAUAGACUUGUCUGUGAAGAUGCGGACUACCUGCACCAGGACAGAAAGACCCUAUGAAGCUUUACUGUAACUUGAAAUUGAAAUUGGACUUUAUUCGCGCAGUAUAGGUGGGAGGCGUUGAUUAUAAUCUUGUGGGAUUAUUGGAGCCAUCAGUGAGAUACCACUCUUGUAAUGUUAGAUUUCUAACUUUGAAUCAUUAUCUGGUCAAAGAACAGUUUCAGGCGGGCAGUUUGACUGGGGCGGUCGCCUCCUAAACGGUAACGGAGGCGUACAAAGGUUUCCUCUGAACGGUUAGAAAUCGUAUCUAGAGUGUAAAGGCAUAAGGAAGCUUGACUGUGAGACCUACAAGUCGAGCAGGGACGAAAGUCGGUCUUAGUGAUCUGACGGUACUGAGUGGAAAGGCCGUCACUCAACGGAUAAAAGUUACUCUAGGAUAACAGGCUGAUCUCCCCCAAGAGUUCACAUCGACGGGGAGGUUUGGCACCUCGAUGUCGGCUCAUCGCAUCCUGGGGCGGUAGUACGUCCCAAGGGUUGGGCUGUUCGCCCAUGAAAGCGGUACGCGAGCUGGGUUCAGAACGUCGUGAGACAGUUCGGUCCAUAUCCGGUGUAGGCGUUAGAAUAUUGAGAGGAGCCUUCUUUAGUACGAGAGGACCGAGAAGGACAUACCUCUGGUGUACCAGUUAUCGUGCCAACGGUAAACGCUGGGUAGCUAUGUAUGGAGUGGAUAACCGCUGAAAGCAUCUAAGUGGGAAGCCCACCUCAAGAUAAGUAUUCUCA